UACGUAGGGUGCAAGCGUUUAAUCGGAAUUACUGGGCGUAAAGCGUGCGCAGGCGGUUAUGCAAGACAGAGGUGAAAUCCCCGGGCUCAACCUGGGAACUGCCUUUGUGACUGCAUAGCCAGAGUACGGUAGAGGGGGAUGGAAUUCCGCGUGUAGCAGUGAAAUGCGUAGAUAUGCGGAGGAACACCGAUGGCGAAGGCAAUCCCUGGACCUGUACUGACGCUCAUGCACGAAAGCGUGGGAGCAAACAGG
Molecule: ribosomal RNA, 252 nt
Filed under: uncultured bacterium
Lineage: Bacteria
Description: partial 16S ribosomal RNA
Rfam family: Bacterial small subunit ribosomal RNA
Source: RNAcentral